RNAcentral lists this ribosomal RNA (314 nucleotides) under uncultured bacterium. RNAcentral's name for it is "partial 16S ribosomal RNA". It matches the Rfam family "Bacterial small subunit ribosomal RNA", at positions 499 to 807 of the family's 1533-position model. The record is from RNAcentral.
UUAUAAGAGACAGCAGUAGCCGCGGUAAUACGAAGGGGGCUAGCGUUGCUCGGAAUGACUGGGCGUAAAGGGCGCGUAGGCGGCGAUCAAAGUCAGGCGUGAAAUUCCUGGGCUCAACCUGGGGGCUGCGCUUGAUACUUGGUUGCUUGAGUGGGGAAGAGGGUCGUGGAAUUCCCAGUGUAGAGGUGAAAUUCGUAGAUAUUGGGAAGAACACCGGUGGCGAAGGCGGCGACCUGGUCCUUGACUGACGCUGAGGCGCGAAAGCGUGGGGAGCAAACAGGAUUAGAUACCCGUGUAGUCCCUGUCUCUUAUAC